AUACGGAGGGGGCUAGCGUUGUUCGGAAUUACUGGGCGUAAAGCGCGCGUAGGCGGAUUGGUCAGAUAGGGGUGAAAUCCCAGGGCUUAACCCUGGAACUGCCUCUAAUACUGCCAGUCUUGAGUUCGGGAGAGGUGAGUGGAAUUCCUAGUGUAGAGGUGAAAUUUGUAGAUAUUAGGAAGAACACCAGUGGCGAAGGCGGCUCACUGGCCCGAUACUGACGCUGAGGCGCGAAAGCGUGGGGAGCAAACAGGAUUAGAAACCCUAGUAGUCC
RNAcentral lists this ribosomal RNA (274 nucleotides) under uncultured bacterium. RNAcentral describes it as "partial 16S ribosomal RNA". It matches the Rfam family "Bacterial small subunit ribosomal RNA", at positions 523 to 796 of the family's 1533-position model. The record is from RNAcentral.